Puntigrus tetrazona (Sumatra barb) is the source of this 354-nucleotide long non-coding RNA. RefSeq lists it as uncharacterized. NCBI's taxonomy places the organism in Eukaryota, Metazoa, Chordata, Actinopteri, Cypriniformes, Cyprinidae. The transcript has 3 exons. The record is from RefSeq and is a predicted model, not a curated record.
AGUGCUUUUAGGGUUCCAGCGUUUCAUUGCCAUGGCAAGAAAGUGCAAUUGGACAUAACGUCACACAAAAAAGAUCAGCAUGAACUCUGGAGGUAUGGAAGUCACGGCCAACAGACUGGAUCUCAGCGUUCCCUUCCUCUCUCUGUCCCAGGGGUCUGUCUGUGGCGUCCAUCCAGGUCGAGCGCUCAGAGCACAUAGAAGAUAAAAGAUGUCAGACUGAGCUCUAGGGUGUCACAUCAGCACCUACAGGACUUGAAGCAUCUCCUUUAUCCAUCUAUCUUCUGUCUAUCGUCUAUCUAUUUAUCUCCUCGAUGAUGCCGUGCUCAAGGAUGGUGAGAUUGGGAAUAUAGUCAG